Molecule: long non-coding RNA, 1549 nt
Organism: Homo sapiens (human)
Lineage: Eukaryota; Metazoa; Chordata; Mammalia; Primates; Hominidae
Product: long intergenic non-protein coding RNA 690
Source: Ensembl
ACCCAGAUUCUAGGAAAGGGAAUAUAGACACCUCUGCCCUAAUAAGAGGACUCACCCUGUAAGAGGGGCAUGUGGAAUGGGAGGUAUUAUGGCUGCCAUCUUUAGAAAUUACAAUUUGCCACAGGUUGUGUUCCCUAGAAGCAGAGGUUGAAAUAGGGGUUCUUUUGUGAGUUAAGGAAGAGGGAGAAGCUAAGCGAGGAUGUAGCUUCAGGUGAAGUCCAGCUUCAACCUGAUCUUGUAGGCAGCACUGGAUCUCACAUUGUCUGCAGCAUUUGUCCUUCCUUGAGGCAAAAAAGUGGGGCUUUUGUACACACAUAUCAGUCAACCCUUAGCUUAGGGAAGCCCCAGGGGAAGGGUUGUAACUCCUAGGUAUCUCGUAGACAGGCAACUCCUCUUGCUUAAAGGCAUUUCCCAGACAAGGCUUGCUCUGUGAGCCUUUAAUAGCAGUUAAUAAAAAGAUUGCCAGAGAUCUGAUUGGGACUGCAACAGCCUCAGCUACAUUAAGAUAUGGGGGCACAUUCAAGGCCUGUUUUAUAGAGACUAGCAGGAUCUGGGGACCCAGUCAGAAGACACUUGGGGUUUAGGGCAGGAAGUCUACUGAUUGCCACGAGCAAAAAAGGAAAUACAUUGGUUCAUGAAAUGAGAAAGUCAAUGGACAGUGCUGACCCAGAUUGGAUCCAGGGCUCAAAGAGCAUCUCCAAGAGACCAUAUAAGAAUCACUAACAUGAGCUGCAUACGCUGGAGGCCCCUCUGCUGUCAUUAUUUUAUGUGCUGGAAAACGCUGCGAUGGGAAGACAGCCCAGUCAGAUGGGGAUGGCCUGGAAUAGGAGCCAGGUCUAUCUGAACUUUUUCUCCAGAGAAUGAAGAUACUGUCAUUACCUCUGCAAAGAAUGCAUCCUAGCACAGAUCAAAGAUCUUCCAAGUCCAGCCACACCAUUUUACAGUUCUGAACCUCGACUUAGGAAAGCAGUGGAUCUUUAUACAUUUGACACAUCCCUUCCCUCUAGGAUCUCUGUGGCUAUUGAAAAUGGACUGGAGAAGAUGAGUGGGAGUGAGAAGAGGAUAACAGAAUCAGAUAAAAACCUGUCAUGUUACUAAGAGCAGGAGAUGAGGCAGCCUGGACCAAGAUGGUGGCAGAGAGAAGAAAAUUGCUUGAGAGAAUUGAUUAAACUACUUGGUUAGCACAGAUAGAGCUGAAUCAAAAAUUAGGAUGGUAAGCUAAGUAAUUUUACACACAAAAAGGCAGAGUUGCAUUCAUAAUUAGUCUCUCCUUCAGACUGAAUAUUACAGACAAAAUAUAGCCAUUGGUGUUGCAAUCACUUCCUUUGGGUUUGUAUCCAAGGUUAAGAAUGUCAGCAUCCAAAGACCCAAAUUCUUAAUGUUUUUAGUUGAUAAAGUUUAUUCAAGGUAGACAGCCUGUGUUGAAUAACUUAGUCUUCCACAAAUUUCAAGAAAAAUCCAUUGUCCCUCUUCUCCGCCACAGACACACUUUAGUUGAACAUUAAGCAUAUUUAUUAAAGAAACAUUCUCCUUGUGCUUUUUCUCCCAA